GGGGUGCUGGAACCUGGAGCGCAGGGCUCUUUGGGAGUGUCGAAGGGGCUGUGGCUGCAGCUGGCACAAAGUGGCUGGAGCCUGGGGGAGGGGCGUGAUGCUGAAGAGGCAGGGGUCACACAGAAGGACGGAGUGAUGAGGCUCUCCUGGCAGGGGCGAGAAGAGGCGCUCACCAAAAGUCACUGGCCAAGCCCUCCUCUGGCCUUCUAGGCCGUACUGUGGGCGACGACCCUCGAGGCCUGUUCCAGAAACACCAGGAAGAGGAGCUGGAAGAGAGAAGGAAGUUGUACCGGUGGGGAAACUUGAAGGAUGGGUUAAUUCUGAAUGUGGCUGGGGCAAAACUAUGUGACCUCCCUGUGGAUGAGCAAUUUCUGGAAGACAAGAGUGUUGACUUUAAGGUUUCGCUGGCCAAAGGGUGAGAGCAAGGGGAGGCUGGGUGAGAGGGAGGUGUCCUGGUCUAGUGGAAGCCAAGGGGCUUAUGGGCUGCACUGCACUGCACUGGACCGGCUCAAGGUCGGUGCCUGUGGCUGUCAUGUUGGAGUCUCAGAAUGAUGCUCAAACCCUUUGCCCCAUUCUGUCCUGAAGGCUGGC
RNAcentral lists this long non-coding RNA (591 nucleotides) under Homo sapiens (human). Its description in RNAcentral is "non-protein coding lnc-TXNDC17-1:4". The record is from RNAcentral. Lineage: Eukaryota; Metazoa; Chordata; Mammalia; Primates; Hominidae.